AGUAAAAAUACGAUGAUUUUUAUUGCGAUCUGUUCAAUAUUGCGUUAGUUACAGAAAACGUUGGAAACUUGGUUAGUAUGAUGUGACUAUCCAGCAAAAUUUAAAGAUUUUACGCAAAAGGUUUAUAGAACAUAAUUCACUGGUAUCAUAGGAAUCAAUUACAAUUUGACAAACUGCAAUUCUAUAGAAGUCUUCAAACUAAGACAUUGAAUUAUUAAGAUA
Schizosaccharomyces pombe (fission yeast) is the source of this 222-nucleotide non-coding RNA. NCBI's taxonomy places the organism in Eukaryota, Fungi, Ascomycota, Schizosaccharomycetes, Schizosaccharomycetales, Schizosaccharomycetaceae. The record is from the annotation of a GenBank genome assembly.